Molecule: ribosomal RNA, 434 nt
Filed under: Arachnia propionica
Lineage: Bacteria; Bacillati; Actinomycetota; Actinomycetes; Propionibacteriales; Propionibacteriaceae
Description: bacterial SSU rRNA
Rfam family: Bacterial small subunit ribosomal RNA
Source: RNAcentral
GACGAACGCGGCGGUGUGCUUAACACAUGCAAGUCGAACGGUAAGGCCCUUUCGGGGGUACACGAGUGGCGAACGGGUGAGUAACACGUGAGUAACCUGCCCUCAUCUCUGGGAUAACAGUCGGAAACGGUUGCUAAUACUGGAUAUGAGCUUGCAAGGCAUCUUGUGGGUUGGAAAGAUAUUUUUUGGUUGGGGAUGGACUCGCGGCCUAUCAGCUUGUUGGUGAGGUAGUGGCUCACCAAGGCUUCGACGGGUAGCCGGCCUGAGAGGGCGACCGGCCACAUUGGGACUGAGAUACGGCCCAAACUCCUACGGGAGGCAGCAGUGGGGAAUAUUGCACAAUGGACGGAAGUCUGAUGCAGCAACGCCGCGUGCGGGAUGACGGCCUUCGGGUUGUAAACCGCUUUCAAUUGUGACGAAGCUUUUUGUGACGU